RNAcentral lists this ribosomal RNA (394 nucleotides) under Ovulinata sp. Its description in RNAcentral is "partial small subunit ribosomal RNA". It matches the Rfam family "Eukaryotic small subunit ribosomal RNA", at positions 587 to 975 of the family's 1831-position model. The record is from RNAcentral. Lineage: Eukaryota; Endomyxa; Gromiida; Pseudodifflugiidae.
AGCUCCAGUAGCGUAUAUUAAAGUUGUUGCAGUUAAAAAGCUCGUAGUUGGAUUUCUGACUGACCCAGAUGGCCCGGUUGCUCUUAGCUUCUGAGUGCUGUCUGCGCGUUUGUCAUCCUUCCAGAAAGUUGUGCCUACCGCUUCCGCGGCCGGGCGCUACGAUCUGGUUCUUUUACUUUGAAAAAAUUAGAGUGUUUCAAGCAGACUUACGUCUUGAAUACAUUAGCAUGGAAUAAUAAUAUAGGACUUUGGUUCUAUUUUGUUGGUUUCUAGGACUGAAGUAAUGAUUGAUAGGGAUAGUUGGGGGUGCUAGUAUUCAGCGGCCAGAGGUGAAAUUCUUGGAUUCGCUGAAGACUAACUACUGCGAAAGCAUUCACCAAGGAUGUCUUCUUUA